Fukomys damarensis (Damara mole-rat) is the source of this 1019-nucleotide long non-coding RNA. The record is from Ensembl. Lineage: Eukaryota; Metazoa; Chordata; Mammalia; Rodentia; Bathyergidae.
CAAUCAUACCUUGUAACACAAGAAAUAUAUUGCCUUUAGUAAUGGCAGCACUUGGGAAGGUAUGUCUUCUCUAGUGCUGAAAUUUAUCUACCUAUAGCUUCCACUUGUUCCUAGAUUGAUUUUCUGUAGCCUCCUGCAUACACUGAAACACUAGCUUGGCGUUUGGCAUUCUUCAGUUGUUAUCCUGCGAACAACUCCUGACCAAAGGUAUCCUCCUACCCCACCCCUCUCUGGCCUCUCUCCUCUUCCUCUCUCUUGCUGUUCCUCUGCUCUGCUGUCUGGCAACCGUGCACUGAGCAUCUUUACUCCAUCACACCCUCCACAGUGCUGCUUCUGUAAUGGAGCCAGUUGACCAUGGACUGAAUCCCCUGACAGCCCAAGUAAGCCUCUCCUCGUUGAAGUUGAUGUGUUGAAUUCUGUGUCUCAGAGAUAGGAAAGCUGACUAGUACACCAGACAGUGCCACCAUUCCAUCCGUGCUCCUUCACAGUGUGCUGGGACCAUGGUCUAUCCAUUUUCCUGUCUGUCAUUUCAUGGCCACAAGAGAAAGCGGGGACUGCCCGCUGCCCCAUCCUGCUUGUGAAGUGUGCCAGGCGGAAGAGUGUACGAGGGUGGUGGGAGCAGCCCAUGGGAAUGAAAGCCAUCUGCACCACUUCACUGAAGACGAUGCUCCACACAAAGACAGACCAGAACCAUGUCCAGAAGUUUAACGCUGAUGUCAUUCAGGAAGGAGGAAGGACUCCAAGACACCCUGAGUCACACUCCUCCUCCUCCUCUAGCAGCUGAACUCCUGGCCUUGAAGGCAAGAACUCCACUUGGCCGUGAUGGUUUCCCGGACACAGAUGCUUAUGAGCAAGGCCCCACCCACACCAGGAGGAAGUUGUGGGUGAUCUUCUUGCAGCAAGCAGAGGAUAUAGAGGAGCUAUCUUAUCUGCAGAGGAGAAGAAAAAGAUUAAAAGAUGACUUCUUCCUACUCUCCGGAUGGGAGGAGAUAUCUGCUUGCAUUUCUGCUUUGUUUUAA